This 492-nucleotide ribosomal RNA is filed under the name uncultured bacterium. RNAcentral's name for it is "partial 16S ribosomal RNA". It matches the Rfam family "Bacterial small subunit ribosomal RNA", at positions 29 to 507 of the family's 1533-position model. The record is from RNAcentral.
AGUGAACGCUGGCGGUAGGCCUAACACAUGCAAGUCGAACGGCAGCACAGUAAGAGCUUGCUCUUACGGGUGGCGAGUGGCGGACGGGUGAGGAAUACAUCGGAAUCUACUUUUUCGUGGGGGAUAACGUAGGGAAACUUACGCUAAUACCGCAUACGACCUACGGGUGAAAGCAGUGGAUCUUCGGACCUUGCGCGAUUGAAUGAGCCGAUGUCGGAUUAGCUAGUUGGCGGGUGAAAGGCCCACCAAGGGGACGAUCCGUAGCUGGUCUGAGAGGAUGAUCAGCCACACUGGAACUGAGACACGGUCCAGACUCCUACGGGAGGCAGCAGUGGGGAAUAUUGGACAAUGGGCGCAAGCCUGAUCCAGCCAUACCGCGUGGGUGAAGAAGGCCUUCGGGUUGUAAAGCCCUUUUGUUGGGAAAGAAAAGCAGCAGGUUAAUACCCCGCUGUUCUGACGGUACCCAAAGAAUAAGCACCGGCUAACUUCGUG